RNAcentral lists this ribosomal RNA (460 nucleotides) under uncultured bacterium. Its description in RNAcentral is "partial 16S ribosomal RNA". It matches the Rfam family "Bacterial small subunit ribosomal RNA", at positions 338 to 795 of the family's 1533-position model. The record is from RNAcentral.
CCUACGGGUGGCUGCAGUGAGGAAUAUUGGUCAAUGGGCGCGAGCCUGAACCAGCCAAGUAGCGUGAAGGAUGACUGCCCUGCGGGUUGUAGACCUCUUUUAUAAAGGAAUAAAAUGACGCACUCGUGCCGUUCUGUAUGUACUUUAUGAAUAAGCAUCGGCUAACUCCGUGCCAGCAGCCGCGGUAAUACGGAGGAUCCGAGCGUUAUCCGGAUUUAUUGGGUUUAAAGGGUGCGGAGAUGGGUUGUUAAGUCAGCUGUGAAAGUUUGGGGCUCAACCGUAACAUUGCAGUUGAUACUGGCAGUCUUGAGUGCAGUUGAGGUAGGCGGAAUUCGUGGUGUAGCGGUGAAAUGCUUAGAGAUCACGAAGAACUCCGAUUGCGAAGGCAGCGUACUAAGCUGCCACUGACAUUGAUGCACGAAAGCGUGGGGAUCGAACAGGAUUAGAUACCCCUGUAGUC